Molecule: ribosomal RNA, 322 nt
Filed under: uncultured eukaryote
Lineage: Eukaryota
Description: partial 18S ribosomal RNA
Rfam family: Eukaryotic small subunit ribosomal RNA
Source: RNAcentral
CCCUUUGAUAUUCUGGGCCGCACGCGCGCUACACUGACGAAUUCAACGAGUUUAUAACCUUAGCCGAGAGGCUCGGGUAAUCUUUUCAACGUUCGUCGUGAUGGGGAUAGAUUAUUGCAAUUAUUAAUCUUCAACGAGGAAUUCCUAGUAAACGCAAGUCAUCAGCUUGCAUUGAUUACGUCCCUGCCCUUUGUACACACCGCCCGUCGCACCUACCGAUUGAAUGGUCCGGUGAAAUCUCGGGACGGCGGCUUGGUCGCUUGCGUCCGACUGCUGAAACUUGAUUAAACCAUAUCAUUUAGAGGAAGGUGAAGUCGUAACA